GAUGAACGCUGGCGGCGUGCCUAAUACAUGCAAGUCGAGCGAACGGACGCGAAGCUUGCUUCUCUGUUGUUAGCGGCGGACGGGUGAGUCACACGUGGAUAACCUACCUAUCAGACUGGGAUAAUUUCGGGAAACCGGAGCUUAUACCGGAUAAUCUUUUGAACCGCAUGGUUCAAAAGUAAAAUACGGUCUUGCUGUCUCUUAUCGAUGGUUCCGCGCUGCAUUAGCUAGUUGUUACGGUAACGGCUUACCAAGGCAACGCUGCCUAGCCGAACUGAGAGAGUGAUAGGCGACACUGGAACGGAGACACGGUCCAGACGACUAAGGGAGGCAGCAGAAGGGAAUGUGCCGCAAUGGGCGAAAGCAUGGCAGAGCAACGCCGCGUGAGAGAUGAAGGUCUUCGGAUCGUAAAAAUCGGUUAUUAGGGAAGAACAUAUGUGUAAGGAAAUGUGCACAGAUUGACGGUACCUAAUCAGAAAGCCACGGCUAACUACGUG
This 497-nucleotide ribosomal RNA is filed under the name uncultured bacterium. Its description in RNAcentral is "partial 16S ribosomal RNA". It matches the Rfam family "Bacterial small subunit ribosomal RNA", at positions 28 to 507 of the family's 1533-position model. The record is from RNAcentral.